RNAcentral lists this small nuclear RNA (104 nucleotides) under Moschus moschiferus (Siberian musk deer). The record is from RNAcentral. Lineage: Eukaryota; Metazoa; Chordata; Mammalia; Artiodactyla; Moschidae.
GUGGUCGGUUCAGCAGCACAGAUAUUAAAAUUGGAACAAUACAAAGAUUAGCAUGGCCCCUGGGCAAGCAUGGUAUGGAAAUUUGUGAAACGUUAUAUUAAAAA